This 76-nucleotide transfer RNA is filed under the name Bacillota bacterium. RNAcentral describes it as "Firmicutes bacterium (gut metagenome) tRNA-Gln". It matches the Rfam family "tRNA". From Rfam's summary of the family: Transfer RNA (tRNA) molecules are approximately 80 nucleotides in length. Their secondary structure includes four short double-helical elements and three loops (D, anti-codon, and T loops). Lineage: Bacteria; Bacillati; Bacillota. RNAcentral also lists the same sequence under 2 other names. The record is from RNAcentral.
UGGGGUGUCGCCAAGCGGUAAGGCAUUGGACUCUGACUCCAACAUUGCGUAGGUUCGAAUCCUACCACCCCAGCCA